GGGAAUUCGAUUAGAGUUUGAUCCUGGCUCAGAUUGAACGCUGGCGGCAGGCUUAACACAUGCAAGUCGAGCGGUAGCACAGGGGAGCUUGCUCCCUGGGUGACGAGCGGCGGACGGGUGAGUAAUGUCUGGGAAACUGCCUGAUGGAGGGGGAUAACUACUGGAAACGGUAGCUAAUACCGCAUAACGUCGCAAGACCAAAGAGGGGGACCUUCGGGCCUCUUGCCAUCAGAUGUGCCCAGAUGGGAUUAGCUAGUAGGUGGGGUAAUGGCUCACCUAGGCGACGAUCCCUAGCUGGUCUGAGAGGAUGACCAGCCACACUGGAACUGAGACACGGUCCAGACUCCUACGGGAGGCAGCAGUGGGGAAUAUUGCACAAUGGGCGCAAGCCUGAUGCAGCCAUGCCGCGUGUGUGAAGAAGGUCUUCGGGUUGUAAAGCACUUUCAGCGAGGAGGAAGGUGGUGAGCUUAAUACGCUCAUCAAUUGACGUUACUCGCAGAAGAAGCACCGGCUAACUCCGUGCCAGCAGCCGCGGUAAUACGGAGGGUGCAAGCGUUAAUCGGAAUUACUGGGCGUAAAGCGCACGCAGGCGGUUUGUUAAGUCAGAUGUGAAAUCCCCGGGCUCAACCUGGGAACUGCAUUUGAAACUGGCAAGCUAGAGUCUCGUAGAGGGGGGUAGAAUUCCAGGUGUAGCGGUGAAAUGCGUAGAGAUCUGGAGGAAUACCGGUGGCGAAGGCGGCCCCCUGGACAAAAACUGACCCUCAAGUGCGAAAACGUGGGGAACAACAAGGAUUAGAUCCCUGGUAAUCCACGCUGUA
This 818-nucleotide ribosomal RNA is filed under the name uncultured Serratia sp. RNAcentral's name for it is "bacterial SSU rRNA". It matches the Rfam family "Bacterial small subunit ribosomal RNA", at positions 1 to 804 of the family's 1533-position model. Lineage: Bacteria; Pseudomonadati; Pseudomonadota; Gammaproteobacteria; Enterobacterales; Yersiniaceae. The record is from RNAcentral.